Molecule: unclassified non-coding RNA, 431 nt
Filed under: uncultured Ampulloclitocybe
Lineage: Eukaryota; Fungi; Basidiomycota; Agaricomycetes; Agaricales; Tricholomataceae
Description: sequence contains ITS2
Rfam family: 5.8S ribosomal RNA (bases 1-154)
Source: RNAcentral
AACUUUUAGCAAUGGAUCACUUGGCUCUCGCAUCGAUGAAGAACGCAGCGAAACGCGAUAUGUAAUGUGAAUUGCAGAAUUCAGUGAAUCAUCGAAUCUUUGAACGCACCUUGCGCCCUUUGGUAUUCCAAAGGGCAUGCCUGUUUGAGUGUCAUUAAAUUAUCAACCUUUUCUUUUGUAACGAUCGAUCAGGCUUGGAUGUGGGGGCUGCCGGUCUCUCAGAGAUUGGCUCCCCUUAAAUGCAUUAGUGGAACCCUUUGUGGAUCAUUAUUGGCGUGAUAAUCAUCUAUCCCAGUGAUCGUGAAGCAAGCCUAACAAGCACCAGGGUUUGGCUUAUAACCGUCCCUCUCUGGGACAAAUCUUCAUUUUAAUGUGACCUCAAAUCAGGUAGGACUACCCGCUGAACUUAAGCAUAUCAAUAAGCGGAGGCU